RNAcentral lists this ribosomal RNA (468 nucleotides) under uncultured bacterium. RNAcentral's name for it is "partial 16S ribosomal RNA". It matches the Rfam family "Bacterial small subunit ribosomal RNA", at positions 28 to 507 of the family's 1533-position model. The record is from RNAcentral.
GACGAACGCUGGCGGCGUGCUUAACACAUGCAAGUCGAACGGAAAGGCCCUGCUUUCGUGGGGUGCUCGAGUGGCGAACGGGUGAGUAACACGUGAGUAACCUGCCCUUGACUUUGGGAUAACUUCAGGAAACUGGGGCUAAUACCGGAUAGGAGCUCCUGCUGCAUGGUGGGGGUUGGAAAGUUUCGGCGGUUGGGGAUGGACUCGCGGCUUAUCAGCUUGUUGGUGGGGUAGUGGCUUACCAAGGCUUUGACGGGUAGCCGGCCUGAGAGGGUGACCGGCCACAUUGGGACUGAGAUACGGCCCAGACUCGUACGGGGGGCAGCAGUGGGGAAUAUUGCACAAUGGGCGGAAGCCUGAUGCAGCAACGCCGCGUGCGGGAUGACGGCCUUCGGGUUGUAAACCGCUUUCGCCUGUGACGAAGCGUGAGUGACGGUAAUGGGUAAAGAAGCACCGGCUAACUACGUG